This 85-nucleotide transfer RNA is filed under the name Candidatus Altimarinota bacterium. RNAcentral describes it as "tRNA-Leu". It matches the Rfam family "tRNA". Rfam says of the family: Transfer RNA (tRNA) molecules are approximately 80 nucleotides in length. Their secondary structure includes four short double-helical elements and three loops (D, anti-codon, and T loops). Further hydrogen bonds mediate the characteristic L-shaped molecular structure. tRNAs have two regions of fundamental functional importance: the anti-codon, which is responsible for specific mRNA codon recognition, and the 3' end, to which the tRNAs corresponding amino acid is attached (by aminoacyl-tRNA synthetases). tRNAs cope with the degeneracy of the genetic code in two manners: having more than one tRNA (with a specific anti-codon) for a particular amino acid; and 'wobble' base-pairing, i.e. permitting non-standard base-pairing at the 3rd anti-codon position. The record is from RNAcentral. Lineage: Bacteria; Candidatus Altimarinota.
GCUGCGGUGGUGGAAUGGCAGACACGCCAGCCUUAGGAGCUGGUUCCCAAAAGGAGUGGAGGUUCAAGUCCUCUCCGCAGCACCA